Molecule: long non-coding RNA, 1102 nt
Organism: Prionailurus viverrinus (fishing cat)
Lineage: Eukaryota; Metazoa; Chordata; Mammalia; Carnivora; Felidae
Exons: 3
Source: RefSeq, a predicted model, not a curated record
CGCGCGCGUCUCCUCAGGGCCUUCUCCCAGGUCCAGGCCUGGACCCUGUCUUCUGGGCCGCAGAUGCUGCUCUCUAAAGUGAAAGUGAAAUGAGGAAAGAGGGCCAAGUGGUCUGUAGGGGAAGGGUAAUUAGCAUCUGUGUCAAGGUUUACACUACCGUUCCACCGUCCAGGCUUGCCUAACAGAUGGAGUGAAGCUUCAGAGACUCACUGAGAAGGAAGAAAGAGGACCUCCCUCCUGACUCUUUAGAGAGUGGGUGGAGAACUCUUGCAGUAUCCUUGAGUGUUAUCCAGUAAGAAGAUCUUGAACUGGUGAAUUUAUCAUUGGGUUUUCUGUUGUGAUCAGAGCACUCGCUACAUCCUUUCUCCAUCGGGAAGGGGGAAAAAAAAAAGCGACACUGUUCCUGCACACACUGUCAGACUUAUGAGGCCACAAUUGACAUACAUGCUUGAAGGAGAAAGUGCUCUAUUGUGUCUUGUUUUUCCGUUCGAAUUAUGUCCUCCUGAGACUGUGGCUGACCCUUAGGCCCAUGGCCGUCCUGAAUGUGAUUGACAUGCGUGAUUAGCAGGCAAGUGAGAGAGAACCAGGGAAAUUGCUAUCAAAACAAUUACAUACAGGGACAUCUGAACAAUGGCUUGAGAGCCCCCAGGGACUUAGAGACCAUCCUAGCUCUGCCACGGAUGCCCUCUGGGACUGUGGCCAAGUCAGAUCAUCUCUUUGUGUCUUCGUUUCCUCCUGUUAUGGUGCCAUGACGUGGACGGGAUCGAAUUCAUCAUUGGACCCCUGGAACCUCUCAUCCAGGACCCCAAGUUUGUGCUUUUGAAGACUUUAUUUCACUCCUGACUGGUUAGAGAUCUACUGAGAUACAGACUCUUGCUGAAGAAUCAGAGGGAGAAGAAAUGGAGUUACGGGGCCAAAUACUGUUGUAAGUUCAAGACAAAAAAAAAGAAGAAAGAAAUAGAAAGACAAAAGAAAAAAGAAACAUGAUUGGCAGUGGUGAGUUUUACCAUUAACAAGACAUGGGAUAAAAACAGGUUUUAUGCAGUCUAGCAAAACAACCAGUAUUUUCUGCCAGGACCCUGCCCCUUAGCAUUUCUGGGUC